GGUCAUCUUGAAAAUCAAUAGGGUACUACUCUUUUCCAUUCUCAGAGAGUCCCAGCAGAAAAGGGAUGUACUAUUCUCUUACAGGAGAGAGAGCUGAUGAUUGAGGACAAAAUAGAAUUUACUACAGCUGGUGAUGGUUAUUAACGUCUUCCGCAAGUAAGUUUCUCUGUACAUUUUUGUUCACAGCAAUAUUUUGUGAGGAGUUUGGGGGGGAACCCAUCUUGGUCCAUUGACAUGUCCUUUAUUUUAGGUAGGUAUCUGUCUGGCACAUGGUUUGCUAUUGCUCAGUGGACUCCGAUUCCUGCAGAAGGAGGAAUGAUUCAUGCCUACCGGGAGGAAAGGUCAUUGAGCAGAUGGAUGGUGAGAACUGGCAGUUCGAGAGCAAACAGAAUCAGUGGCCUGGGCAUUGGAGAAUAACAGAUGACUUUCUUGAGCCUCCAAUGUGCCACAUCUAUUGCAGGCACCCAAGUCCUUAUUCCUUGUCACUGGUGUAGGAAGCAAGGCUCCCAUAAUGCAGCUGAGAAAAUUAGCCCAUCCUUGGUGGAGGUCAGUCACUUCCUGUCUUCAUUCAAGAAUCUACCCCACUCACCUCAGCCUGAAUGGGUCUCUCCUCCACUGAACUCCAAGAACUUUUACUUUGGGGAAUUUCACUUGGCAAUGACUUAUAGGCAGUUUUGUAGUUGGUUUUCUGACACACUAUUUAACUACUGUGUGGUUUAAGGACAGAAGAACUCAGAUUUCUUAAGGUCCUACUUUGUGCCAGGUCCCUUGUAUGUGGCAGCUAUUCUACACCUCGUGAUGACCUGAAAAGCUAGGUACUGGUGGCCUUGUUUCACAGGGGGGAAAAUAGAGGUUUGGCAAGGUUAAGUGACUAUUCAAAGUCACAUAGCUAGUAAGUGGUGAAGGUAGGAUUUGAACCCAGGUCUGUCAGCUUCACGUUGGGUUAUUUUGGACUCUUAGUGGGAUUUUAUGUUCCCAGAAAGCAAGGAUUUCGUCUUAUACUUCCUUAUAUCAUCCUCAAAAUCCAAUAUAGAGACUGAGCACUGCAUAGGUGCUUGGAAAUAUUAUUAAAUAUCUUUAUAUAGAGAGAUAAGCAGGUGACUUAGUGCUCCUUGAGUCCUAAAAGAAAUACCAGAUGUGGUGUGGGAGGAAGUAUUGCCCCUCUCUGCCCUUUUUCCUCUGGUAUCAAUCCUCAGCUGGCUGAUAGCAUUUAGGCUGAGGCCACUGUGUGGCUGAGUGGCUAGAUGGAUAGAUAGAUAGAUAGAUAGAUGAAUAGGUAGAUAGAUAGGGCUUUGACAGGGCUCAGAAAUAAAUCCAUGAAGUUGUGGACAUAGAAGGGAAUGCACAUUUACUGUAUGUCUCCGUGCUGGGCUUUCAUCAUUUAUUAUCUCAUCAAAGGCACAUGAUAUCUUUUGGGGUCAGAUUUCUUAACCCCUUUGAACAGCCCAAUUUCAUACAGCAAUAAUAAUAGAGCUGGACUCUGAAUACAGGUCUGGCUGACCCCAAAGCCCCAGUUGCUGCCUCCACAUACCCCACUACUGACACAGAUAGCACCCCUUCUGUUAAAAAGCAAGCCAGGUCAGGCCAUCACAGAGGAUGGCUGGCCUUGAGUGCAUGGGGAAUAAUAACUUGGAAUAUAUUCCACUCACAAAACUGAAAGUUACCUGCUUCCUGAUCUAUUGCCACUGGAGACUUUUUUUAAUCAGCUCUUACCUGUGUGGUAGUCAAGCAUUUCACCUUUUUCAUUGAAUUAUCGCAUUAGGCUCUUGACAGAGUCAUUCUCUCUGAAAAUAAAGUGGUUUAAGAUGAAAACUGCAAUUAUGGUGCCAUCAUUUAGGAGGAUCUGGGAUUCCUGUAGCGUUAAAAGGAAUACGUAAUUGCCAGUUAAAGCAAAGCACGCUAUUGGCCUAAACCAUUGAUUAGAAGUAAAUUGGGAAAAAUUCUCUGUGUAACAUCAUGGAUAGGCCCACACCCUUUCUCGUAGAGCUAAAGUGACAUGUGUGAGGUUCAGAGAGGUUAAUAACUUGCUCAAGGUCACACAGCUAGUAUUCUCCUGACACUAGAGAAUGCAUAUCUGAAAUGUAUAAUCCAGGGAGCUGAUACAAACUAGAGUGUGCAAGAUUCUAGAAGGGCUCAACUUGGUCCUGCUAGGCUUCCCUGGUUCAGGCCUUUGUCAUCUCCCCCUGGACCUUAUCAUCUUAGUCUCCUCUCCUUCACCUCACUCCCUGGUAUUCUCCAAAUAACAAACACCCAGAGUGAUAGUGGCAAUUAUUAUUGGUUGCCCACCAAAAAGCUUCCCCCAUCACUUUAAUGUUACCAGAACAAUAGUUUUGGUCCAUCCCACCUCAGGGAUGAAUCCAGAUGGGUUUGGCCAUUCCUGGCAACUACACAUAUAAAUGUCUGUAUUUUACUUAAUAACUUUGGUUUUCUGCCGUACUAUGAGUACAAGAAUUCUGAAACUAUUUUCUAUGUUUGUAGAUCUGAGCAGAUAAAUGAAUAUACUUAUGUUGUCAGGAAUCAGAGUUCUCACUGUGGAAGAAAAGCGACACAACCUGAAAAGGGAGCAAAGCAAGCAAAUCUCUACAGAAUUCAACUGGAAUUAGAGAUACCAGGAUUUCUAGCUUUGCCCAGUGAAAGGGCCAGGAAGCCUGACAUGACUGGAAAUGAGCACACUCCAGCACACAGGGAAUUUUUGGUUUCUAAAAAGCAUUCUUUGUUAAAAGGAACCAGGGAUUCUUGAAGAAGUGGCUGAUCCAAGGACUGGGGCAAGACAACUACAAGAAGAGUCAGGAACAUUGGACUGUAACAGAAAAUAAGAGAUAGUAUGAAUAGAGAUCCUGCUGUAUAGCACAGAAACUACAUCUAGUCACUCAUGAUGGAACAUGAUGGAGGAUAAUGUGAGAAAAAGAAGAUAUAGGGAGUUCCCGUCGUGGCUCAACAGAAACGAAUCCGACUAGGAACCAUGAGGUUGCAGGCUGCACCUGGGCUAGGGAAAUUGGAGCUGCAGCUGUAGGCCUACACCACAGCCACAGCAACAUGGGAUCCAAGCCUCUUCUUUGACCUACAACACAGCUUGCAGCAAUGCCAGAUCCUUAAUUUGCUGAGCGAGGCCAGAGAUCAAACCCU
Molecule: long non-coding RNA, 3126 nt
Filed under: Sus scrofa (pig)
Lineage: Eukaryota; Metazoa; Chordata; Mammalia; Artiodactyla; Suidae
Description: lncRNA (ENSSSCG00030014999.1)
Source: RNAcentral